RNAcentral lists this ribosomal RNA (1950 nucleotides) under Triticum aestivum (bread wheat). RNAcentral's name for it is "partial small subunit ribosomal RNA". Lineage: Eukaryota; Viridiplantae; Streptophyta; Magnoliopsida; Poales; Poaceae. The record is from RNAcentral.
AUGGACAACCUCCUCGGCCUCGGCUUCCCGGGGGCCGGCGGCUACGACGCCACGGCCGGAUCCGGCGACGACGAGGACGAGGAGGCCAUGAAGAGCCUCUACGCCGGCGCGGCCGCCGCCCCCGCCCCCGCGGAGGAGGAGGAGGUCGACGAGGGGUACGCCGUCGCGGCGAUGAAGGCGGGGGAGGAGAGGGGGAUCGGGAAGGAGGGGCUGCGGAAGAGGCUGGUGAGGGAGGGGGAGGGGCCGCAGCUCCCCGGCGCCGGCGACGAGGUCGAAGUGCACUACACCGGGACGCUGGCGGACGGCACCAAGUUCGACUCCAGCCGGGACCGCGACGCCCCGUUCAGGUUCACCCUCGGCCGAGGCCAAGUUAUAAAGGGAUGGGAUUUGGGCAUCAAAACGAUGAAGAGGGGCGAGAAUGCUAUUUUCACCAUCCCACCAGAGCUUGCAUAUGGUGAGGAUGGCUCCCCUCCAGUCAUCCCUCCAAAUGCAACGCUGCAGUUUGAUGUUGAGCUUCUCUCAUGGGCAAGUGUCAAGGACAUUUGCAAAGAUGGCAGCAUCUUUAAGAAGAUACUAGCUGAAGGCGAGAAGUGGGAGAAUCCCAAAGACUGUGAUGAAGUUUUUGUUAAAUAUGAGGCAAGGCUUGAGGAUGGGACUCUUAUUACAAAAUCUGAUGGUAUUGAGUUCACUGUCAAAGAAGGGCAUUUCUGCCCUGCUAUAUCGAAGGCUGUCAAGACAAUGAAGAAGAAUGAGAAGGCCCUCCUUACUGUCAAACCACAAUAUGGCUUUGGUGAGCAAGGCAGGCCGGCCUCUAGAGGCGAAGCUGCAGUCCCCCCUAAUGCUAUGUUGCAAAUUGAUCUUCAGUUGGUGUCCUGGAAGACAGUCACUGAAAUAGGCAAUGACAAGACGAUCUUGAAGAAGAUCCUCCAGGAGGGUGAAGGCUAUGAUCGUCCCAAAGACUGUUCAACUGUCAAAGUGAAACUUAUUGGGAAGUUGGAUGAUGGCACCAUGUUUGUAAAGAAAGGUCAUGAUGGUGAAGAGCCAUUCGAGUUCAAGACUGAUGAGGAUCAGGUGAUUGAAGGGCUUGACAAAGCAGUGCUUAGCAUGAAGAAAGGAGAAGUUGCCUUUGUGACUAUUCCCCCAGAGCAUGCAUUUGGAUCAGAUGAAACAAAGCAAGAUCUAGCUGUUGUUCCUCCUAACACAACUGUUUAUUAUGACGUUGAACUCGUUUCUUUUGAUAAGGAGAAGGAAUCAUGGGAGUUAAAGGAUAAUGCUGAGAAGAUUGAAGCGGCUGCUAAGAAAAAAGAUGAAGGGAACGUGUGGUUUAAGAUGGGCAAGUAUGCCAGGGCUUCUAAGAGAUAUGGGAAGGCUUUGGAUUUCAUAGAGUACGAAAGCUCCUUCAAUGAAGAAGAAAAACAGUUGUCCAAACCACUCAAGGUGAGCUGCAAGCUCAACAAGGCAGCGUGCAAACUGAAACUUAAAGACUACAAGGAAGCGAAGAAUCUGUGUACCGAGGUCCUGGAAAUUGACAGCACAAACGUGAAGGCCUUGUACAGAAGGGCGCAGGCACACAUGCAUCUUGUUGAUUUUGAUUUGGCAGAGGUGGAUAUCAAGAGAGCACUGGAAAUAGAUCCAGAGAACAGGGAUGUAAAGAUGGGUUAUCGGAGGUUAAAGGAGAAGGUGAAGGAGUACGAGAGAAGGGAUGCCAAAUUCUACGGCAACAUGAUCAACAAGCUGAGCAAGCUGGAAGACGAUGAGGGCUGCGGGAGUAGCCAGGGGCCAAGCAAGAAGCCGCGCAGCCUGUGGCCUCUAGCGCCUUUCUUCACGACCGAUGGCAGCAAGCUCUGGCUCGUUCUAAGGCUACUGAUCCCCGUGAUGAUCUUGGUCGCGCUUUGUGUUGCUUACUAUGUGCAGAGCGGAGUUCAUGAAAUCGACUGCGUCAACUGCUGA